AUACUAAAUAGAGUGUUUUAAUACAUACUUGACAGGAUUAAGUUUAUAUAUUUUGACACUAAAACCACAGGAAUUUUUUUAUAACCAUGGAAACAUUUUUUAAUGGCUCAUUUGAGAGAUUGGAAAGAAAACCUUACCAAUUCACCCUAAGUUCAUCAGUGGUUACAUUUCAGGUUAUGAGUCACUCUAAUCUCUUUAUGUACACCCCAAAAUUUUACAGUUAAUAUUACUUCUACUUACAGAUAAAUUAAGCUCAGACAUUUAAAAAUUGAACAAAAAUGCAAAAAGAAGAGUAAGGCAGAUGGAAACUAUACAGACUGUAAUGUUUGGUGAUUAGGAAAUCACUUAUGAGUUACUGAGAGAGAAUGUUGAGAAAGAUGCCAGAUCACAUGGUACUAUAAAAUAGAGAAAAAGAAGCAGAAACGCACAGAUCUUCCUGCAAAAUAUUUGGUGACUGAAGAAAGGUGAUAGAGGAAAGUAGCUUGAAAGUAAUCCAGAUCAGGGUAGGAAAUUUCAUUUAGAAUGAAGAGACAUGAAUUUACUAUUAUAGACAAAGGAAAAGGGUCAGUACAGAAGGAUAACUAGCCUGUGGAUGAAGAGAGGAUAGUUGCUCAAAGUCUAAGAGAAUGUAGACAAUGACAAAUCAUGGUUUCAGACGUGGAUUGUAAUGUUAACCAGAGAGAGAUGCUUCUUCAAAACAAAAGGAAAUAAAGAGUGUGCUUAUACAUAUAUGAAAAAAAAUGUGGACAUGAAGAAGGAAAAAAAAAUGAGCAGUGAUCUGAUCCAUCAGGACAUUCAAAUUUUCUGAGUCAGUGACUUCGAGUGGCAGAAAAUUUAAGAGAUGCAGUAUCUUCGGAGAGUAAUGACAUACAAUCCACACAUUCAUGGAAGAAUGGAGACCUGAAGUUUUUGAAAGGGAGUCAGCAGAGAGGAAAAUAGACAUGAACAGAUGAUCUACCUUAUUUUGGAAUUAAGAAACACUUGAAGAUUAUUCUCAGAAAUGCCAUAAGG
Molecule: long non-coding RNA, 1011 nt
Filed under: Pan troglodytes (chimpanzee)
Lineage: Eukaryota; Metazoa; Chordata; Mammalia; Primates; Hominidae
Description: lincRNA
Source: RNAcentral